AAGCAAUUGUCUCGGAAUUUCAAGGUGUUGUGUCAUAACUUACUGGAUGUGGCGUUUUGUUGUUUCGAGAUAUAGAUUUCCAAAAAGGCUAACUUAGUGUCAAAUAUUUUAAAAAUAUUGUGUCCUAACUUAUUGGAUGUAAUAUUUUGAUUCAUUUGAUAAAAGUGAACCCUAAUUUUCAAAAUAAAAAAUAUUAAAAGAGAACUGCAUCUUAAAAUUUUUUAAAUUUUCGACAUUAAAGACACUUGAUAAUCAAUUAGGUACCAAUUUUUUGGGCGUUACGAGGGUGCUAACCCUUCCUCAUACGUAACCAACUCCCGAAUCUAUUUUCUCGACUUUCGUAGACCAAAAUUAAUGUUUUAAAACAAAACAUUUUAUAAGGUGAUCCAAUCACACCUAAAAAGAUUGGUGGCGACUCCCGUUUUCAUUUUUUUUAAAGUCGAUUCCCAUUUUCCUAAAACUCGAUUUAAAAAUGGUUUCGGCAAUGAACAUACCAACUAGCACAUAGCUAUAAACAUUACAAUAAGUAUAUCAACCCUAUUACAUGCCAUAUAAGCCUAUAUGUUCACAAAAUCUACCAAAGAAUUCUCGAGAUAGUGUGAAUCUUCGAGUUGAUCUGAUCGCCCGAUUAUCCAUAAAAUGCUAUCUACAAGAGAACACAAUAAAACACGAGUAAGAUUGUAUAAAGAUUAGUAAGCUCAUCAAUUAAAUGAUAAAUCUUACAAAAAAUAACACAAUAAUUCAGGUAAUUAGUUAAAUGAAUAAACUCCCUGUUACGACCUAAUAUCAGAACUCCUGUCAAACACAGUUCACAACAAGUAAGAAAUGUUCAAAUGUUAAUACGAUAAAUAAUCAAUGCCCGAUGAAUGUUUUAUGGAUACGAGUACAUGGUUAAUCAUCCGAAACACGCCAAACACUCAUAUGAGCUAAUCUAACCAAUAACACUCCUCAGCAUUAAGUGCCUAGCUCGAAGGUUAACAACUACCCCCAUAAAUAUGCCAGCAAACACUGAAGUAUAACUCGAUAGUCCGUAAAAAAUACCAGACUUUGAUAUAAUAAGGUAAAUAGGAAAUAAGCAGUGUACGCCCUAAAAAUUUAAAUGUUUGAUUAAGAAAUGCUAGCAUAAUUAAAUCUUUGUUUCUGUGGUUAUGUGCUCUGCUUAUGUGUUUGAUGUCAGAAGUUCAAGUCGCGUCUGUAGAAAUUUUUUCUAUUUUACUCUAUACUAACCUCUAUCCUUGAAUGGUUGACUUAAAUUUAAUUCUUUGUAAAUUUGCGUUAAGAAUGAGCCUGCUGGUUCACUGGUUAAGUAUUCUCCCCCUUAUUGAUCCUAUGUUCGAGUUUCAACGUAUGCGUUAAGAAAGAUGUUUUAUUAAUGUCAAAAUUUUGAGUGGUGGUUUUAAACAUUAAAUUAACGUUCUCUAUUUCUACAAUGUCCUUUCUUUUUCUUUUUGUUUUUCUUCUUGUUCCCUCUUUUCUUUUUCUUUUUUGUGUUCGGUUUGUCUCUCCUUUUUAGUUGACGUUAAAUCCUCUACAAUAUAUUUGUGUAAGUGCAUUCUUUGUGUUGUAGAUUAAAAGUUAAUUGUCUAAGUUUUGCUGUAAAUUUCUUCAAAACAUCGGGGUCAUUCUGUCGAAAUGACUCUAUCUUUGUUGGGUUGAAUUCUUGUGAUUAAACAGCUUUUGGCUUCUUUAUAUUAGGUGUAGGUGUUGGAAGUAACGUUUCUUGACAGGUUAGUUUGAGUGGUUGCCGCUAAUUUGCUGGUAAGCAUUAGUUUCGUUAGAGGUUUUAUGUCGAAGUUUUUGAAUAGUUUAGUAAGUAUUAAUUUGUGCGAAUUACGUUGUUUUAGUCAUUUAUUUGGUUUUUGGUUGGCUAAUUUAGGCUCUGGGGUUUCUCUGUGUCGUUUCUAUUCAAAACUACUUUAGGUGUACCAAAAAUUUAUGUUUGUAUGAAUUUUGGACGUCAAAAACAUAGCUGUCGACGUCACAUGGCCAUUUGAUAGGCCGUGUAACUCGCUGUUCACCAAGUUAGAGCUUUAUGAGUGUGUGUCCUGACCGUGUAUGGCAAAGUUAAUGCAAGAUUCAUACGAGCUAAGGAGACGGGUGUUUGUCCAGGCCUUGUAACUCACUGUCUACAAAAAUUAGGAUCACACGAGUAGACGACACGAUCGUGUGAGACACACGAGAAUGCACACAUGCAUGUGCCAGGCCAAAUGGGCUGGCUAUACAGGCCGUGUGAAACCACGUAGGCCUGUGGAUCAAUAUACGAAAUUUUUACGCUUGGAUCACGAGUGUCGCUUGAAACAAAUACAAGCUUUCUGUGAGGCCGUAUGAUUGAAUUAAACAGUAUAAACUGAUAUUCUAUGACUUGAGACUAUAUAAUAAAAAUUUGUGUGGGUAAUGGUAUCGAUCUAUUCUAUUUGAGUAUGAAUUGUAUCUGAAUGUUCGUAAAGGACUCUAUAUUAACUGUCAUUUGAAAUCUGCAUUUGCAUUGGGUGAGAAUUGAGUAAGGGGGAAGUAUUCUAUUCUGAAAUAGUGGUUAAACCACUAGUAUCUGUACUCUGAUCUAGCAGCUAGAUUGGAAUCACUGAAACAUGUCAAAUCGACACUAUAUGGUGUGUAGGUUAGAUGGGUAGUAAUUACCCAUUUGGUGUGUUGGGUUGGUCGAAAAUGGUGUAUAGUGGUUGGGAUUAAGAAAAUUGUAUAUAUUAUGUUUUGUUCUGUAUCUGACUAUACUGAUUUGUUAUCUGUUUGUACGAUUCUGAUUUGUAAUUGAAUGAAUUGUCUCUUGAGUCUGAUUCAACAUUUUCAUUUGGAUAUCUACUUAUUUAACCAUAACUCUAUUGAAUAUGUAUAUAGUUGGUUUAUUUAUGAGAAAUUAAUGCAUUGUUUUGUUCAAUGAAUUACAAGCAAAUCACAAACUUGAACGGGUCAGUAGAUAGAGAGCUUGAUUUUGCUGUUUUAAACUGUUUAGUACAACUAGUAUUGUUAAUUUACUUUUAGUAUUUUCAACUUAGUUGGAUGAUAAACCUCAAACUGCUUGCUUUGUUAUUUCUUUAAAUCUUAUAUGACUCCAAAUGGUUUUAAAGCUAAGUUAUGAAGUUAUGUUUUUCAAUAUCGUUCGUUGUAACUCUCCAGGCUUGGCCUUAUCGUCUAGGUCGAAUAUGGGGUGUUAUAAGAAGGAAUCAUUGUCUCAUCUCAAGUUAAACCCAUACAGCGCACACUAUAACCUAUUGGCAUGUCAAUAAUACUCUACGUUCAUAGUUUCAGGAGAUUUUCAUGGUAAUCAAUUCUAUAAUGUUUUGUUAUUCAAAUCUCAAGUGCAACCAUACAAUAAUAUCCAAGUCACAACAAAUUAAUUCAUCCCAAAAUAAACCUAAAAAUAUUAAAAUUAAACCGAGCGAACUUAUCGACUAAUGCAGUGACAACCAUAAUAUAGGGACUACUCCGCUAUAUUCUCUUUUCCGUGGUUCACAACGCGUUCUUGAUCUAGAACAACAAUUUCAUUCAAUUUACUAUAUCAAUAACAAAAUUAAAUCAUUUUAUGCAAUUAAGUCCCUUUUUGGCAUCUUAUAAAAUUACCCUCAACUUUUCACUUUUAUUCAAUUUAAUCCCUAAGUUCAAAACAUGCAAAUUUAACCAUUUUUUAUUCACAUUCAAGCUUGGUCGAAUAUACAAGGGCCUCUCUACAGCUCCUAUUUGCUAUUAAUUCACAUUAAGUACAAGUUAUUCUACCACUUUAACAAAUUAGUCCUUAGACGUUAAAAUGAUCAAAAACCACUUUACAAAACAAUCCAAUCUAACAACAAAACUUAAUAAUCUUCCAUAAACAUUCAAGAAACAACUCAAAUCAAUAAUGAAAAAAGAUAUAACAUUUGAUAGUUUUACGAAUUGAUCCCAGUGUUAGCUAGAUUAAGUUAAUACGAGCUCAAAAACGUAAAAAUCACUAAAAAACAGACGAAGUUUCACCUACCUAUUGAGGACUUAAAGUUAACCGAAUGGUGUUCUCUACUUACUCUAGGGUUUUGACUAACGUAAAGAAAAUAUAAUGAAGAAGAUGAUAAAAUUUCAUUUUAUUUUUGUGUAAUUUAACUUAGUAAAAUAAUUACAAUUUUACCCUUUUUAAUUUCACCUGAUAUUUGAGUAAAAUGGUAGCCAAAAUCAUCCACUCACCCUUCCAAUGGUGUAAUUACCAGUUAAGUACCUUACUAUCCUUUUUAAUUAACAUUUAGUACCUUUAAUUAACGGACUCAACUUUUGCAGCUUUUACGAUUUAGUCAUUUUCUUUAAUUAACUAUCAAAAUGAUAAAAUUUCUUAAUCAAAAUUUAAUACGACACUAAUGCCAUCAGAAAUAUUAAAUAAUUAAUAUUCACAGACUGAAAUGUCAGAGUUGUGGUACCGAAGCUAUUGUUUCUGAUACUAUUGAAAAAAGGGCAGUUACAACUCUCUCCUCUUUGGAAAUUUAAUCCCUGAAAUUUCUUACUAGAAAAUAGGUUCUGAUAUUGUGAUCUUAUCAGGUCUUUAGUUCCUCAUGUAGCUUCCUCAACCCCAUGAUGAUUCCAUAAGACUUUAAUUAAUGUCACUUUUUUAUUUCGAAGUUCCUUUACUUUACUUUCUAAAAUCCUAAUUGGUUCUUCAGAAUACGAUAGAUCUGACUUUAUCUCAACCUCAUAGGGAGUAAUGACAUGUAAAGGGUUUGACCUGUACCGUCUCAACAUUGAAAUAUGAAAAAAAUUGUGAAUCUUUUCAAGUACUGAAGGUAGAGCUAACCUAUAAGCUACAAGACCAAUUCUUUUUGUGAUAUCAUAUGGCCCAAAAAAAUCUCAGACUCAACUUUCCUUUUUUGCCAAAAUGAAACACUUUUUUCCAUGGUGAAACUUUCAGGAACACUCGAUCACUAAUAGUGAAUUCCAUAUAUUUUCUUUUCAAUCUGCAUAUGAUUUUUGAAGAUAUGACAUUGCUUUUAAACAAUCAUGGAUUAUCCAAACCUUAUUUUUCAUCUCACGCAUCAAAUCAAUAACAAUUAGCUUAGAUUCACUUGAUUCUGACCAAUACAACGGUGUUCUACAUUUUCUUCCAUAGAGGGCUUUAAAUGGUGCCGUCUUAAUAUUAGAUUAAUAGUUGUUAUUAUACCCAAAUUCUACCAACGGUAAAUAUCUCUCCCAGCUACCCUCAAACUUAAGAAUGCAACACCGUAACAUAUCUUCCAGAAUCUGUAUCACAUAUUCUAAUUGUCCAACGGUAAAUAACGAAUGGUAUGCUUACUGAAAUAAAGUUUAGUGCCCAAAGCUCCAUGAAGCUUACCCUAAAAUCUCGAGGUAAAUCUCGGGUCUCUAUCAGAGAUAAUAUAUAAUAGAACUCCGUGCAAUCUAACAAUCUCUGAUACAUAUAAUUCUGCUAACUUCUCAAGUGAAUAAUCAAUUUUGAUUGGGAUAAAAUGAGUUAACUUCAUUAGUCUGUGAACAAUAAUCCAAAUUGAGUCUUUCUUCCUCAAUGUCACUAGUAAUACCAAUACAAAAUCCAUCGUAAUACGCUCCCAUUUCCACUCAGAAAUAGUAACAAGCUGUAAUAAUCCUGAUGGUACCUAAAGUUUAGCUUUUACCUGCUGACAAACUAGAUAUUUAAUCACAAACUUAGAAAUCUCACGUUUCGUACUUGGCCACUAGUACAUUUUCUUUAGGUCAUUAAACAUUUUAGGACUACACGGAUGAAUGGAGUAUAUACUACUGUGGGCCUCUGAUUAUAUGUCUUACCUUAAUUAUGGAUUAUUCGGGACACACAACCUAUUAUGAAAAUACAUCAUACCAUUAUCACCUACAAUAAAUCCUGUAGUCAAGUCACUCUAAAUCUGUUCCUGUUUGGCUAACAACUUUGGAUCAUCAUCUUGUAAUUCUCCAAUCUGCUGGAGGAAUAACGAACUAGUCCUUAGCUAAACUAUAAUAAAACCCAACAUAUUCCAAAGCUAAAUGUGUAUUCAUUGCUCUCAAAUCAAAUAAUAAUUUCUAACUUAAAGCAUCUACAACCACAUUAGCCUUCCUGGGGUGAUAAUAGAUUACAAGAUCAUAAUCAUUCAGUAACUCUAAACCCCGUUGUAGUUUCAGAUUCAAUUCCUUUUGAGUCAUCAAAUGUUUCAAAAUUUAGUGAUCUGUUAAUAUGUGACAUUUUUCACCGUAAAGGUAGUAAUGCCAAAUCUUCAGAGCAAAAACAAUAGCAACUAACUCCAAGUCAUGUAUAGGUUAAUUCUUUUCAUGAGGCUUUAACUGGCGAGAAGCAUAGGUUAUUACUUUCCCAGCUUGCAUCAAUACACAUCCCAAUCUACUAAGUGACGCAUCACUGUAAACAAUAAAUUCCUUCCUAGAUUUAGGCUAUGUCAAUACUGGAGCUUCUGUUAACAUUUUUUUAACCGAUCAAAACUCUAUUGGCACUCAUCUGACCAAACAUACUGGACAUUCUUCUGUUGUAACUGGGUCAUUAAUGAAGCUGUUAUAGAUUUUUUUAACAAAACGACGAUAGUAACCUACCAGUUUCAGAAAACUCUGUACCUCUAAAAUAUUCUUCUGACCUUUACAGUUAAUAAUAAAAGAAAUUUUACUCAGAUUGAUACAUAUCCCAUCUGUUGAAACCACGUGUCCAAGAAAUCCAACUUCUUGAAGCCAUAAUUCACACUUGUUGAAUUUUGCAUACAACUGUUUUUUACGCAAAAUCUAUAUUACAGUUCUCAAAUGCCGAGCAUGUUCAUAUUUUGUCUUGGAGUAGAUCAAUAUAUCAUCUAUAAAUAUUAUAAACCAUAAGCUAUACAUAUUCUUACCCCAUGCUUGGCAUACUUAUGGAUGAAUUUUCCUUGGUUUUAUUGAAUUCGAUGCUCGUAAUCCUUUAAUUUCAUGUUUUAUACUCAAGAGAGCAUAGUAAAGAUAAAAGAGCAAGAAACAAACCAAAAAGGGACAAAAUAGGCUAAUUUUAGCGUUCUAUAUGGACUAGGCACUUCCACACCCCCGUGCGUGUCGGCAUUAAAUAAAGUCAGAAUUGUAAACGGCCUGAGAACUUUCACACGGGCGUAACAGACGGCCUUGUCCUUGUCAAACCCAAGUUUAAUUCUAUUAAGAAAAGGCUAAUUUUGGGCUAUUCUGGGCAUUCCAAAGUCUAUAAAAACACCUUAGAAGAGGACCAAAAAGGACACGCAUAAUAGAGGGUAGAAAAUACUCAAGGAUAGCCAUCGGGAUCAGCUCAGAAGUAGGAUCUACUUCAAGACUGAAGAUCUUCAUUAUCUUUUCUUAGAAGUUCUUUGGUUUCUUUAUGUUUUGUUGUUUUCCCAAUUUUGAUAUGUUUUCAAUUAUUAUGAACUAAACUCCCUAAACACCUAAGGGAGAUAAAAUCUAAGACGGAUCUUAUUACUAUUUGAAUUAUAUGAUAAAUACUUGUUCUUAUUCUUAAUUGUGAGUUUUAAUCCUUGUUUUAAUAUUCCAGGAUAUAUAAUUCAGGUUUUGAUGUGCUUAUUCAGUGGAGUAAAAGUCCCUGUUUAAAAGUAGAUCUUCCAUAAUUAAGGGGACUUGCAUGCAAUCUUACAGAUAGGACGACAUAAAUCUGCCGGCUUAGAGUCAAAUCUAUUAAGGGAAUCCAUAGAUCGAAUUAAUACGAUAGUAGGGGUUUUAAUUAGUAAGAGAUUUCAAUUAAUCAACCUAGAGUCAGUUGUUUUUAGUCUCGAAAGAGAUAAUGACAUAAAUUAGAGAUUUCUACGGAUUAAGUCAAGUGAAUAAAUCAUCUAAUUCAGAAGUAAAAAGUGAAGUCUAGGUGAAUUCGUCCUUGGGUAUUGUCUUCUCUAUCAAUUUUUCAAACAGUAUUUUCUAAUUUUUUAUCUCUGUCGUAAUCUUAGUCAAUUAGAUAAUUAGUCUUAGUUUAAAACAUCCCUUAAUUCUUAAGUUAGAUAAUAAAAAGAUAGUUGUACAGCCCAAAUUUUGCCCGGGCUAAAAAGCCCAACAUCUAAAAACCCAACAGCCCAAAACCCUUUAACACUAGCCCAUAGCAAUUAAAAAAAAAGAAAAAAGAAGAAGACUAAAAAAAAAAAAACCUAGCCAUCAUCCCUAUGCUUGACUCGGCCAACUUGCCCUGUCUCAUUGCCCAUACCUCCACUUACUCCAUCCCCAUAUGUCCCGCUCCAUGUUUUGGCCCAUGUUUCAUGCCCCUCGUUCUCCACAACUUCAACACCUGCAAUUGGAGCAAAGAGAUAGGUAGAAAAUGUAUGGUUUUUGGCUAUAAAACCUUCAAUUUUUCAUUGUAAAAGGGGGAGAAGAGAUUGUACUAAAGAGGUUUUUUUUUAGAAAAAGAACAAUGAUACUACAUGCAAUAGAGAGCUUUCUUUUUCGAAUAUAAUAGAGAAUAUACAAAGUCAAGAGUAAAUCGAGAAUUGGGACUGAGGUACUAAAGUUUAUAUACAAAUCUCAUGCAAGAAUCAGUAAAAAUACCCACCAAGGAAUAGUUUCAAAGGUGAUUUUAUUUUGUUUUUCUUCAAUUUUUUUUCAAAUCGGAUCCACAAUAUAAGUUAAAAAAUAGGAGACAAGAAGGGAGACUUACCGCGCCUCAUGUUUGCGCCGUCGAGAGGGCCUUGCUUCGCCAGUCGCCGGCGACCUUUGGGUGGUUGAAGGCCUGGGCAUAAGCCUUUCGGCGAAGAGCAGAGAGGGGGGGGGGAGUGUGAAGAUUUCAAACUUUUCCUUAGAAAAGUCAAAGCUUAAAUUUUUAAAGGAAAAAAUGAAUUGAAAUGGGU
Molecule: long non-coding RNA, 8753 nt
Filed under: Gossypium barbadense (sea-island cotton)
Lineage: Eukaryota; Viridiplantae; Streptophyta; Magnoliopsida; Malvales; Malvaceae
Description: long non-coding RNA (GBAR_LNC002933)
Source: RNAcentral